This 22-nucleotide non-coding RNA is filed under the name Arabidopsis thaliana (thale cress). Lineage: Eukaryota; Viridiplantae; Streptophyta; Magnoliopsida; Brassicales; Brassicaceae. The record is from RNAcentral.
CCAAGAUGUGGGCACAUUGGUU